Molecule: transfer RNA, 94 nt
Filed under: Histoplasma capsulatum var. duboisii H88
Lineage: Eukaryota; Fungi; Ascomycota; Eurotiomycetes; Onygenales; Ajellomycetaceae
Also listed under: 1 other name
Description: Histoplasma capsulatum H88 tRNA-Pro
Source: RNAcentral
GGUCCUGUGGUCUAGUGGUAUGAUUCUCGCUUUGGGUUCCUCCAAUCCUAAAUUAGCCUGCGAGAGGCCCCGCGUUCGAAUCGCGGCAGGACCC